This 465-nucleotide ribosomal RNA is filed under the name Vreelandella stevensii. Its description in RNAcentral is "partial 16S ribosomal RNA". It matches the Rfam family "Bacterial small subunit ribosomal RNA", at positions 338 to 795 of the family's 1533-position model. Lineage: Bacteria; Pseudomonadati; Pseudomonadota; Gammaproteobacteria; Oceanospirillales; Halomonadaceae. The record is from RNAcentral.
CCUACGGGCGGCUGCAGUGGGGAAUAUUGGACAAUGGGGGCAACCCUGAUCCAGCCAUGCCGCGUGUGUGAAGAAGGCCCUCGGGUUGUAAAGCACUUUCAGUGAGGAAGAACGCCUGGUGGUUAAUACCCAUCAGGAAAGACAUCACUCACAGAAGAAGCACCGGCUAACUCCGUGCCAGCAGCCGCGGUAAUACGGAGGGUGCGAGCGUUAAUCGGAAUUACUGGGCGUAAAGCGCGCGUAGGUGGCUUGAUAAGCCGGUUGUGAAAGCCCCGGGCUCAACCUGGGAACGGCAUCCGGAACUGUCAAGCUAGAGUGCAGGAGAGGAAGGUAGAAUUCCCGGUGUAGCGGUGAAAUGCGUAGAGAUCGGGAGGAAUACCAGUGGCGAAGGCGGCCUUCUGGACUGACACUGACACUGAGGUGCGAAAGCGUGGGUAGCAAUCAGGAUUAGAUACCCUGGUAGUC